AGAGAACUUUCCAGAGAUGGAUUGGUGCCUUCGGGAACUCUGAGACAGGUGCUGCAUGGCCGUCGUCAGCUCGUGUCGUGAGAUGUUGGGUUAAGUCCCGUAACGAGCGCAACCCCUAUCCCUGGUUGCUAGCAAGUAAUGCUGAGAACUCCAGGGAGACUGCCGGUGACAAACCGGAGGAAGGUGGGGAUGACGUCAGGUCAUCAUGGCCCUUACGGCCAGGGCUACACACGUGCUACAAUGGCGCGUACAGAGGGCUGCCAACUCGCGAGAGUGAGCCAAUCCCUUAAAACGCGUCGUAGUCCGGAUCGGAGUCUGCAACUCGACUCCGUGAAGUCG
Molecule: ribosomal RNA, 339 nt
Filed under: uncultured Marinobacter sp.
Lineage: Bacteria; Pseudomonadati; Pseudomonadota; Gammaproteobacteria; Pseudomonadales; Marinobacteraceae
Description: bacterial SSU rRNA
Rfam family: Bacterial small subunit ribosomal RNA
Source: RNAcentral